RNAcentral lists this microRNA precursor (99 nucleotides) under Olea europaea subsp. europaea. The record is from RNAcentral. Lineage: Eukaryota; Viridiplantae; Streptophyta; Magnoliopsida; Lamiales; Oleaceae.
GUUGGGGGGGAUGAAGCCUGGUCCGAGAAUCAUUUAGGGUUUCCACUAACAUAUUAGAAUCACCUCGAUGAUCUCGAGCCAGACAACAUUCCUCUCAAC